GAUGAACGCUGGCGGCGUGCCUAAUACAUGCAAGUCGAGCGAACAGACGAGGAGCUUGCUCCUCUGACGUUAGCGGCGGACGGGUGAGUAACACGUGGAUAACCUACCUAUAAGACUGGGAUAACUUCGGGAAACCGGAGCAAUACCGGAUAAUAUAUUGAACCGCAUGGUUCAAUAGUGAAAGACGGUUUUGCUGUCACUUAUAGAUGGAUCCGCGCCGCAUUAGCUAGUUGGUAAGGUAACGGCUUACCAAGGCAACGAUGCGUAGCCGACCUGAGAGGGUGAUCGGCCACACUGGAACUGAGACACGGUCCAGACUCCUACGGGAGGCAGCAGUAGGGAAUCUUCCGCAAUGGGCGAAAGCCUGACGGAGCAACGCCGCGUGAGUGAUGAAGGUCUUCGGAUCGUAAAACUCUGUUAUUAGGGAAGAACAAAUGUGUAAGUAACUAUGCACGUCUUGACGGUACCUAAUCAGAAAGCCACGGCUAACUACGUG
RNAcentral lists this ribosomal RNA (496 nucleotides) under uncultured bacterium. RNAcentral's name for it is "partial 16S ribosomal RNA". It matches the Rfam family "Bacterial small subunit ribosomal RNA", at positions 28 to 507 of the family's 1533-position model. The record is from RNAcentral.